CACAUCCCAAAGAAGCCUCGUUAAAUGGACAGAGAGCAAGGGCUCGAUAAAAGUAGCAAUGCCGCAGUGUAAAAGAGGGUGGCAUCCUCAUUUGUCAUCAUGUGUCCAAAUCCCCGAUUGGCCGAUUGUUUCUCCAAUCAGCAAUUAGGCAGCACCAAAGAUAUGAGCCAGAGCCAGCUGGCCAUCCCAGUCACUCUGAGCGACGUCCCCCCAUCCAUCGCCGAGAUGCUGAACGAUGAGGAGCACUGGGAAUUCAACAUCCUGGAGCUGGAGGCAGCUACACACAAGAGGUACAAGGAUGGGGGAAACUGAAACAAGACACCAAAUUGAUCAGAAAAGACGGCCCAUUUUAGUUGAAGCAAUAACAUGGUACUCAUUUCAAAUGGUUUUUACUUCAGCAGUUACUUGGAUUAUUACUGUAUUACAUUCUUUUGCAUUCUCAAAGCUGGAAGCUGAUAUUUUCCUGCCCAAAUGUUGACGUUUUUGUCAUCUAUACUGAACACAAUGCAAGUACA
Long non-coding RNA from Monopterus albus (swamp eel), 515 nucleotides. RefSeq lists it as uncharacterized. NCBI's taxonomy places the organism in Eukaryota, Metazoa, Chordata, Actinopteri, Synbranchiformes, Synbranchidae. The record is from RefSeq and is a predicted model, not a curated record. The transcript has 3 exons.